UACGUAGGUGGCGAGCGUUGUCCGGAUUUACUGGGCGUAAAGAGCGCGCAGGCGGUCGUUCAAGUCGCGUGUGAAAGCCCCCGGCUCAACUGGGGAGGGUCACGCGAUACUGAUCGACUCGAAGGCAGGAGAGGGAAGUGGAAUUCCCGGUGUAGUGGUGAAAUGCGUAGAUAUCGGGAGGAACACCAGUGGCGAAGGCGACUACCUGGCCUGUUCUUGACGCUGAGGCGCGAAAGCUAGGGGAGCAAACAGG
Molecule: ribosomal RNA, 253 nt
Filed under: uncultured bacterium
Lineage: Bacteria
Description: partial 16S ribosomal RNA
Rfam family: Bacterial small subunit ribosomal RNA
Source: RNAcentral